RNAcentral lists this ribosomal RNA (207 nucleotides) under Orbiliaceae sp. RNAcentral describes it as "partial large subunit ribosomal RNA". Lineage: Eukaryota; Fungi; Ascomycota; Orbiliomycetes; Orbiliales; Orbiliaceae. The record is from RNAcentral.
AAGCGUUUAUGACCAGACUUUUUCCUGGCGGAUCAUGCGGUGUUCUCACCGUUGCACUUCGCCAGGUCGAGGCCAGCAUCGGUUCUCGCAGGGGGAUAAAAGCUUUGGGAACGUGGCUCUUCGGAGUGUUAUAACCCAGGGUAUAAUACCCCUAAGGAGACCGAGGUUCGCGCUCUGCAAGGAUGCUGGCGUAAUGGUCAUCAGCGA